RNAcentral lists this ribosomal RNA (344 nucleotides) under uncultured bacterium. Its description in RNAcentral is "bacterial SSU rRNA". It matches the Rfam family "Bacterial small subunit ribosomal RNA", at positions 51 to 375 of the family's 1533-position model. The record is from RNAcentral.
ACACAUGCAAGUCGCACGAGAACGCUUCAGCUUGCUGAAGUUAGUAAAGUGGCGCACGGGUGAGUAACGCGUGGGUAAUCUCCCCCCGAAUUGGGGAUAACAUCGCGAAAGCGAUGCUAAUACCGGAUAAUAUCUUAAAAACCUCGGUUUUAAAGAUCAAAGGUGGCCUCUACAUGUAAGCUUCUGUUUGGGGAUGAGCCCGCGUACCAUUAGCUUGUUGGUAGGGUAAUGGCCUACCAAGGCUGCGAUGGUUAGCUGGUCUGAGAGGAUGAUCAGCCACACUGGAACUGACACACGGUCCAGACACCAACGGGAGGCAGCAGUGGGGAAUUUUGCGCAAUGGG